GAUGAACGCUGGCGGCGUGCUUAACACAUGCAAGUCGAACGGAAAGGCCCUGCUUGCAGGGUACUCGAGUGGCGAACGGGUGAGUAACACGUGGGUGAUCUGCCCUGCACUUCGGGAUAAGCCUGGGAAACUGGGUCUAAUACCGGAUAGGAGCCAUUUUUAGUGUGAUGGUUGGAAAGUUUUUUCGGUGUAGGAUGAGCUCGCGGCCUAUCAGCUUGUUGGUGGGGUAAUGGCCUACCAAGGCGGCGACGGGUAGCCGGCCUGAGAGGGUGGACGGCCACAUUGGGACUGAGAGACGGCCCAGACUCCUACGGGAGGCAGAAGUGGGGAAUAUUGCACAAGGGGCGCAAGCCUGAUGCAGCGACGCCGCGUGGGGGAUGACGGCCUUCGGGUUGUAAACUCCUUUCGCUAGGGACGAAGCUUUUUGUGACGGUACCUAGAUAAGAAGCACCGGCUAACUACGUG
Molecule: ribosomal RNA, 465 nt
Filed under: uncultured bacterium
Lineage: Bacteria
Description: partial 16S ribosomal RNA
Rfam family: Bacterial small subunit ribosomal RNA
Source: RNAcentral